AAUGAACGCUGGCGGCAUGCCUUACACAUGCAAGUCGAACGGCAGCAUGACCUAGCUUGCUUGGUUGAUGGCGAGUGGCGAACGGGUGAGUAAUGCAUCGGAACGUGCCUUUUAGUGGGGGAUAACGUAGCGAAAGUUACGCUAAUACCGCAUAUUCUCUGAGGAGGAAAGCAGGGGACCUUCGGGCCUUGCGCUAGAAGAGCGGCCGAUGUCGGAUUAGCUAGUUGGUGAGGUAAAGGCUCACCAAGGCAACGAUCCGUAGCGGGUCUGAGAGGAUGAUCCGCCACACUGGGACUGAGACACGGCCCAGACUCCUACGGGAGGCAGCAGUGGGGAAUGUUGGACAAUGGGCGCAAGCCUGAUCCAGCCAUGCCGCGUGAGUGAAGAAGGCCUUCGGGUUGUAAAGCUCUUUCGGCUGGGAAGAAAUCGCACCCUCUAAUACAGGGUGUGGAUGACGGUACCAGCAUAAGAAGCACCGGCUAACUACGUG
Molecule: ribosomal RNA, 490 nt
Filed under: uncultured bacterium
Lineage: Bacteria
Description: partial 16S ribosomal RNA
Rfam family: Bacterial small subunit ribosomal RNA
Source: RNAcentral